RNAcentral lists this unclassified non-coding RNA (329 nucleotides) under soil metagenome. RNAcentral's name for it is "partial contains 5.8S ribosomal RNA, internal transcribed spacer 2, and large subunit ribosomal RNA". The stretch from base 1 to 120 matches the Rfam family "5.8S ribosomal RNA", at positions 35 to 154 of the family's 154-position model. The record is from RNAcentral.
GAUGAAGAACGCAGCGAAAUGCGAUACGUAAUGUGAAUUGCAGAUUUUAGUGAAUCAUCGAAUCUUUGAACGCACAUUGCGCCCGCCAGUAUUCUGGCGGGCAUGCCUGUUCGAGCGUCAUUUCAACCAUCAAGCCUUCGCUUGUGUUGGGGCCCCGCGGCUGCCGCGGCCCCCUAAAUCCAGUGGCGGGCUCGUCGUCGUACCGAGCGCAGUAGACAUCCUCGCUCCGGGAACCCGACGGGUGCCGGCCGUGAAACCCCCCCCAACAAGGUUGACCUCGGAUCAGGUAGGAAUACCCGCUGAACUUAAGCAUAUCAAUAAGCGGAGGA